This 1345-nucleotide long non-coding RNA is filed under the name Anser cygnoides (Swan goose). RNAcentral's name for it is "lncRNA (ENSACDG00005007276.1)". The record is from RNAcentral. Lineage: Eukaryota; Metazoa; Chordata; Aves; Anseriformes; Anatidae.
AUGCAGAGAUGGAGAAUUCCCUCUGUAACCCAAAUGGAUGAGUUCAUAGAAGACAACACUCGCCUACCUGCCGCAUCUGAUUCAAAUGUAUGUCUUCUGGGAAAGUCCAGCAUCUAUCUGCACACACAGACAACUGCUCUUCUUUCCAGCUCAUCCUUUUCUCUGGGUAUUUUCCGCUUCUUGUAUUGUGGUUGCCAGGAGAGCAGCUUGCAUGGAUCGUGUCAUCUUCAGGGAGUCCUAUCUCAUCAUUAUUCAGUUACCUGCAAUCCUCUGACUGAAGAUGCUAAAUCCCUAGCUCACAGCCAGAUUAGAAAAGUGAUUAGUUACCUGUGUAUCCCACGUUAGAAGUAUAGGAUUAUAUGGCAAUUAUAAGGGAUCAGACUCAGCCUAUUUAAAAGGAUGCUGACAUCUCAGAAAUAUCCUUUACAAGCAUUUUACACUGAGCCUCCUUACCUCAAAUCUUUUCAGGCGUGUUAAGUGAAAUUUUGAAGUUGGUUUCUUAAAACCAUUAUGUUUUGUAUUUCGUGCUCAAGUGAUUGGGGACAAGGAAGGCAAACUGCUGGCAAUUACACUUGUCAGUGAGGUCUCAAGUCCCAGGCAGCACCAUGGUGAUGACACUGCUUAGGCCCAGGUACUGACCAGGAAACACAAUAGGGCUGUGUGUUUUUUUUCCCUGUAAAAGAAAAAUUAACUGAUGUGUUGGAGCUGCUUCAGAGUUUUAAAGAUCUACUGAGUAUAGAAUAUUUUUUAAAUAGCUACUAAUAUAUCUUGAGGGUUACAGUCAUGUAUUCAUGCAUUCUUACUAUAUGUAAAUGUUAUUGUAUGUGAAUAUAUAACUCACAGGUGAGGGUGUGUUUUCACCCAGGCUUGCACCAUUAUUAGCUUUUUUUCUGUCCCUCAGUGUGUCUGUCUGUCUUCUCCAGUCAUUUCUGCAUUGUUGGCCAAGCUGAGCCGCAGAAGACAGGGAUGCAAGCAGUCAGAGAAAUCACGUAGUUCUUUGAAGUUUCAUGAAAAUACACAGGGAGGUAGAGGAGAGAGCCACUGCUUGUCCCCCAGAGAAGGGCUGCAGGUUGCACUCAGCUUGUAACACCAGCUGGGUGCCUGCCAUGAGCACCGCAGCCAUGGGCAAGCUUCAGUCAAAGCCCACGUCCCAUCAGGCUCCACAGACCCUGGCCAUGGGACUGUGGGUCCUUAAGGGUCCCUUCCAACUUGGGAUAUUCUAUGACUGGUCUGUGGGAGGCCUGCCUUUGUUACUCCCACUGCUCAUGCAAAUACUCUACCACANNNNNNNNNNNNNNNNNNNNCCUCCUUACCUCAAAUCUUUUCAGGUGUGUUAAGUGAAAUU